Molecule: long non-coding RNA, 246 nt
Filed under: Setaria italica (foxtail millet)
Lineage: Eukaryota; Viridiplantae; Streptophyta; Magnoliopsida; Poales; Poaceae
Description: long non-coding RNA (SITA_LNC001665)
Source: RNAcentral
AACGGCCUCCGAGUUCCAUAACGUUGCGUGAGCCCUCCGAGUUCCAUAACGUUGCAUGAGCAAAAGCAAACCGAGGGUCACGGCAACCACCUGCAUCGCGUGGAACAGCGAGCUUUUGCGUUCCACACGCUGCAAACUGUCGGGUUAUUUUUGCACCGUGCGAGCCUAGCUCGGAAGACCGAUUAGGGUAGCAAACACAGCUUGUUGCGCUAGCUGGGCCUGAUCCAACCUGCGUGCGGACUACCA